AGUAUUUUGACUAUACAAAGGUAUUGAAAUAAGACUUUAAUUGAGUGCUAAGAGAAUGGAAUUUCAUAAAAUUUCUUUUUUAAUUUUAAAAAUUGAAAUUAAUUUUAUAUGUGAAGAAACAAUAAUAAAAAUUAAGGACAAGAAGACCCUAAGAAUUUUAAAAAUUUCAGUAAAAUGCUGUAUUUUAUUGAAAUUUUUUAAUUGGGGCGAUUAUUAAAUAUUAAAAACUUUAAUUUUUUUAAAAAAGAACCAAUAAUAUUGGUUAUUUGAAAAAAUACUCUAGGGAUAACAGCGUAAUAAUUUUUGAUAGUUCUUAUAGACAAAAUAGUUUGCGACCUCGAUGUUGGAUUAGGAUUCUUUUUUAAUGAAGAAGUUAAAAAAAGAAGUUUGUUCAACUUUUAAAAUCCU
RNAcentral lists this ribosomal RNA (408 nucleotides) under Amblyomma maculatum (Gulf Coast tick). Its description in RNAcentral is "partial small subunit ribosomal RNA". Lineage: Eukaryota; Metazoa; Arthropoda; Arachnida; Ixodida; Ixodidae. The record is from RNAcentral.